GGGCACAUAGCUCAGUGGUAGAGCGCUACGUUGACAUCGUAGAGGUCGUAGGUUCGGAUCCUACUGUGCCCACCA
RNAcentral lists this transfer RNA (75 nucleotides) under Holosporales bacterium. RNAcentral's name for it is "tRNA-Val". It matches the Rfam family "tRNA". From Rfam's summary of the family: Transfer RNA (tRNA) molecules are approximately 80 nucleotides in length. Lineage: Bacteria; Pseudomonadati; Pseudomonadota; Alphaproteobacteria; Holosporales. The record is from RNAcentral.